CCCGAAAGAUCGAACGGGGAGAUUCAUCGUCAGCGGCGCAGGCUUCGCCGCGGCUCGUGAUGUCGGGACCUCGCGUCCACGGCACUCGGUCGCGGUGCAAUGUCCGGCGACGCCGGCGUGCACUUCUCCCCUAGUAGGACGUCGCGACCCGUUGGGUGUCGGUCUAAGGCCCGGUCGGCUGCCUGUCUCGGCGUUCGCGUCGGGGCAGACCCCCGGUUGCCCGUCCGGCUGCCCGGCGGUACCCGCACGGUAUAGAGCCGCAUUGAACUGCGUCGGGCCCGCCGCAAGCGCGGUCAGCGAUUCCCGGUGGUCGGACCUAGCGCCGUCCCCGGGCCUGGCCAGCUGUUGGCUGGCGGUGUCCUCUGGCUGGCUCGUUCGAAUUAUCAAAUACCGGUCGGCGACGCUAUUGCUUUGGGUACUUUCA
RNAcentral lists this ribosomal RNA (424 nucleotides) under Neodiprion sertifer (European pine sawfly). RNAcentral's name for it is "eukaryotic LSU rRNA". Lineage: Eukaryota; Metazoa; Arthropoda; Insecta; Hymenoptera; Diprionidae. The record is from RNAcentral.